Homo sapiens (human) is the source of this 2847-nucleotide long non-coding RNA. Ensembl annotates it as PSMG3 antisense RNA 1 (head to head). Its record names the gene PSMG3-AS1. The record is from Ensembl. Lineage: Eukaryota; Metazoa; Chordata; Mammalia; Primates; Hominidae.
ACCUUCCGGAAGUCAGGGCCGCGGCGCUUCUGGUCCCGGAGACUUGGGGCUCCCGGGCUUCUGAGCGGCUCGGGUUCCGCGCUGCCGGCAGGGCUUGGGGGCGCCUUAGAGCCGAACCCCGUUUUUUCAGGAAAGGGCGCUGCGACCACCCCCGUCCCGGGCCUCAGCCCCUCUGCUGCAGACCCUCGGGAUCGUCGCUGGAAAGAUUCUGAAGCUUGGCGGAGAGGGGUGUGUGAGUGGACACCAGUGAAGUAACGGUUUUUGUGUUACGAUGAUUUCUGUUUUCCUCUGCUGCCCUGUAAUGGCAGGAACUCGGAUAGUCUGGUCUUCAGACCAGGAGGACUCCCAGGAGAGAACGGAGAGCCAGUGUGCUGUGUGUCACGGUCCCUGGAUGAACGUUUGUGGAACUGGAUUGAAUUAAACAAGACGUGCAAAGCAAGUGGUUCACGAGGGUCUUGCUCCGUCGCCCAGUCUGGAGUGCAGUGGCAAGAUCUCUGCUCAGUGCAGCCUUGAACUCUCAGGCUCAAGAAAUCUUCCCGCCUCAGCCUCCCAAAGUGCUGGGAUUACAGAUUCGAUUGCUGUAGGGACCCCGUGGGUGUGGAAUCAGACAGUAUUGGUCCUUUCAUGACUGGCUUAUUUCACAAAACCCGAUGCCGUCGAGGUCCAUCCAUGCUGAGAUAUUUACGGAGCAUCCCCAGCUGCUGGAUGCUGGGACCCACCAGUGGGCAAGAGGGCCGUGCCCACCCCUUCCUGGAAGAGACACUCACUCAGUAAAUGCAGAGAUUCAGUGUUGGGGUAACCCCAGCACACAGCCCUGAGGGAGGAAGCCCAGUGAUUUGAUCGGAUUUGCUUUUCUCUUCUGCCUCGGAUUCUGUCCAACCCCUGGAAGGACCUCUGAGGUGUCCCGUGGCUGGUUCUAGGCCCCAUUCAAGCCUCCUCCUCCAGGAAGCCUUCCCAGUCCUGGGCAUCUGUAGCCAGCUCGGUGUUUCUCACCUGGGGCCUGGGACGUCUCCCAUUCUGAACUGCCGUGUUUUGGGUUUACUGUUCUCUGGCUUUUGGUCCCAGCCGGACGGUGGCCUCUUGUGUUCAGGGACAAGGCAAGGAGCAUCCAUGCACCCCCACAGUACCCAGGCUGGGUCUGUGCCCGCCAGGCCCCCGGCAAAGCUUGGAUGAUCCGGGCUGGGCUGUUCUCCUGCUGCUCUCCUGCUGCUGGCCUCGCUGUAUCAGCUGAUGGCCAUCGCGCCUCCUGCACCCGUCAUCCCGCCCUGCACGCCCCCGCCACGUGGAUGAGCUCCCUGGGGAGUUAAUGGCUAAUGGAGUCUCCGCUCUCUCUUGUCAAAUGCAGCCAUCAUCCGCUGGUGCUUUAAGGGACUCUCUCCCGUCCCCACCCUAUUCUCAGGUGGCUCCUACCGACACCACCUAAUGGUGAACCCCAACACGAGGACACAGGCAGUGCCCUCUCAGGACCACUGUGGGUGCCACCAGGCACGACUUCCUAAACACCCACAGAGCAAAAACCUGGAAAUUCAGCCGAGGCACUGGGACCCCAACCUCUCCCAGAGUGGCCCCAGCUCCACGGCGUCUGCAUGGCUCUGGCCGUGAGCAGAGCAGCCCCGACCUCCGUCCUGACCCAGGGCGCCGGAGCGCCACUGCGGAUCUCACCACCACACAAGCCAGACCUGCUAGGAAGCCCUUCCCGGCCACCAGCUCUCGGGCGAUGCACACAACAGGGCCUUUUGAAUUCCCUGAGGUUAAGGUUCCCCUUGAGUCUCCUGGGCUACAAGCAAAUCCCCCGAGGGGAGAAGUCCAGGCUGACACAGCCUCCUGCACCCCUGCCUUGGGAGGCCACACCUCGUUUGCCUCUAGAACCGACGACUGGGGAGCACUGUUUGCAGAGUUCUCUCUCUCUGGGUAAGUUCCGGAGCCACAUCUCACUGGAUCCACCACGGCCUGGGUGGACGGCUCUCGUGUGUUUAUAGCUGGGUCCCUCGCUUGGGAGCUGCCUCCGGGUGGGCGGCCUCUCCAGCCUGUUUGAGUGCUCCACCCGGAGCAGGAAGAGGGCCGUGUGCUCUGGGCAGUGGUUCCUUGGGCACUGCAUGGUCCUUGCUUCCCUCCAGGGCCCACCUUCCCUGGCCGCUGCAUCCCAGCCGAGGGCAGGCCCCUUUUGCCAGCUGAAGGCAGAAAGGCCGGCAGCCCUGGGGUGGCGGCGGGCAGAGAAACCCCCCGGAGUGGUCUCCGUUCUUCUAAAAGUGAUGUUGACCCCCGUGUCGCAGGCAGCUGGCAGGGUGGCAGUUCGAUCUGUCGUUACGGGCUUGCACCACUGCGGUCUCCCACCCAGGGAGCAGCUCUGUCCAACCACAGCGAGCCUCCAGCUCCUACCCUCUGCCUGGGCUGGGGCAGAGCCUGGGGUCUGGGUGGGAGAAGCGUGACUCUGGGAUGAGACCUUACAAAGCAGGUUCCUCCUGGGAGUCAGCCCGGGUCUAAACGCAGCUGGGCAUGAAGGGGUGCCAUCGGAUGUCGAGUUAGGAGGACGAGAGACCUCCAGCCCCGGCACCCGCAUGUCUCUUUGGAAACCAGCUUUGGCUGCGCCCCUGGGGACACUGUCUGCCGUGGCCUCCCGCUCUCCUCCCCGGCACAGGCAGGGGGUCUCCCUCCUCCACCGCCACUCCCUUGGCCUCGCCCUCCCCGCCAGGCACCUGGCUUUUCCCCACCGACCCCCCCGGGGGACUGCGGCCCCCAGAAAGGCUGCACUCUGGGAGCAAAGUGGCCUGAAACCAGAGAAAAGAACGCCGGGGGAUUUGGCUUAAACUCGUUAAACCCAAUGAACCCUCUUGCCGAACGAUCGCA